This 510-nucleotide ribosomal RNA is filed under the name uncultured bacterium. RNAcentral's name for it is "bacterial SSU rRNA". It matches the Rfam family "Bacterial small subunit ribosomal RNA", at positions 36 to 518 of the family's 1533-position model. The record is from RNAcentral.
CUGGCGGCGUGCCUAAUACAUGCAAGUCGAACGGUCUUUCUAUGGAAGCUUGCUUCCACUGGGAAGAUAGUGGCGAACGGGUGAGUAACACGUGGGUAACCUGCCCAUAAGAGGGGGGAUAACAUCCGGAAACGGGUGCUAAUACCGCAUAGUUUUCUUGAUCGCAUGAUUGAGAAAGGAAAGACGGCCUUUGUGCUGUCGCUUAUGGAUGGACCCGCGGCGUAUUAGUUAGUUGGUGAGGUAACGGCUCACCAAGACGAUGAUACGUAGCCGACCUGAGAGGGUGAUCGGCCACAUUGGGACUGAGACACGGCCCAAACUCCUACGGGAGGCAGCAGUAGGGAAUCUUCCGCAAUGGACGAAAGUCUGACGGAGCAACGCCGCGUGAGUGAAAGAAGGUUUUCGGAUCGUAAAACUCUGUUGUCAGAGAAGAACAAGUUGGAGAGUAACUGCUCCAGCCUUGACGGUAUCUGACCAGAAAGCCACGGCUAACUACGUGCCAGCCGCGGC